RNAcentral lists this long non-coding RNA (1747 nucleotides) under Anser brachyrhynchus (Pink-footed goose). Its description in RNAcentral is "lncRNA (ENSABRG00000012552.1)". The record is from RNAcentral. Lineage: Eukaryota; Metazoa; Chordata; Aves; Anseriformes; Anatidae.
UCAGCCUUUCUCAUACAAGGAGAGGUAUACUGAGGUACAUCUAGGCCAUAGUGUAUGUAUCAUGGAAAAAGUGUCACUAGCAUAUUUUGGGAAGGCUCUGGAAAGAAAGAGCAGGCAAAGAAGGAAAAGAAUAAAAAAAGACUCUGAAGGCAACAUCUUGUAAGUGAGGUAUGCUGAUAGUGAGAAUGGUAGACUUGGGCACCUCCUUGCAUUUGUGUGAUAUGCUGAACACUUUCAAGUGACUGACUUUUAAGAGAGAUUCCCUUUUGACAGGCAUGGUGGCCCCUGAGCUUAUAUAAGAGCAGGGGUGUGCUCUGUGUGUAAGGCAGGGCUAGCCAGGAGCACAGAAUGUGCAGUGCCCUCACUGACACGGAACAGUCCAAUAGCACCUGAGCUAAACAAGCAAAGCAGAAUGGUCCAGCAACAGUUCCUGUGAACAGCCCAUCCAUCAGAAGACAAGGCAACAUGCCAGAACUAAGAAGAUGAAUGCAGGAAAUCCAAACAACAAUUUAGGGAUGGAGAUGCUGUUGCAGAAGAGCGACACCAUUCAUCUCAAUCAGAUCCUGGAAAUCAAAACACAAUCAGAUGCUGAUGAUCUAAGCCGUAAUAAGUACUUGAUUUGUGACUCCGAGAUGUAGGGAACUGUAAUGGCUGAAGACAUUUAUUGUUAGAGGAUGAAAUAUGUUCUUCAUUCAACAUGGGGAAGCAAAGAUCCAGCAAUUGAGUAAUGUGGAUUGCCUUCUUAGAGAGGCAUGCUGCAAACUUUCCAAGUAUGCUAGAAUGAAAAUCUGACCUGCUAUAACCAGUUUCCAAAAUUUCAAACCAACUUACUCAAAACUUAUGUUGCAUCUGAAGAUAUUUAAACUUAUUAAAUAUAAAUAUAUAUGAAAAUGAACUGUGGUAAACUUUCUCAUUGAUGGUUAUUAUGUAAGCACCCUCUAAAUAUUAAGGUUGCUCUUAUACACAUUUUUAUUUCCAUAAAGGUCAGAGGGGGCUAAUAACACCCAAAGGUGGUGUUAUUGCAAAGGUCAAUAACACUUCUUUAUUUCCUCUGCCUUAGAGUAUAAAUUCUCGAGGACAGGGAAUGUCAUUACACGUUUUUAUUAUUGCAUUUCACCAGUGUAUCUCAGCUAUCACAAUUCUUCCUUUUAAUAGAUCGACUGGCUUUUGACAUUCUGAUGUUGAUGUGGUAAUCUUUAUGGUGACAAUUCUUCUGAUUUUACAAGAAGUGAUUUGAGAAACAUGGCUAUUAGCACAAAUGAGGGAGGGAGGUAUGUCACACUAGUCAUAAUUGUUACUAAUUCUUAAUGGAACCUUGUAUAGAUCUUUAACUAGAAUCAUACUAAACAAACCAAAACGUUUGAAAUAACUGUCAGCACUUUACUGAGGGGAGUUCAUUAAAAAUCUGCAGAGAGAUUUGUGUUUAGUUGGUAUCCUACUGUUGUUAUUCUUUCAGCUGGGACAUUAAUAGCAGAAAGAUUGAUUUGCUUUACCUAUUUUUAGAUUACUUUUCUUCACAUGGUAAAUACUAGAGAAUCAUCAUAAUGUUAGCAAAGCCCCAAAACUCCUAAACCUAGCUGGGAAGAGCGUAAACUAAAAAAGAUUAUGUGAAUUUGGUAGGGAUUCUACAUCCAACAAAAGACAGAGUGUUUCUCCAAAAGGACCUGAAUCUGCCAGUCAACUCCUAUAAGUGAACACCUCACCCAUACAGAAAAUAAAGGACCAUGGUAUUCGUUACUUCUACCCA